RNAcentral lists this ribosomal RNA (199 nucleotides) under uncultured bacterium. Its description in RNAcentral is "partial 16S ribosomal RNA". It matches the Rfam family "Bacterial small subunit ribosomal RNA", at positions 328 to 539 of the family's 1533-position model. The record is from RNAcentral.
ACGCUCGACACCUACGGGAGACAGCAGUCGGGAAUAUUGCGCAAUGGAGGAAACUCUGACGCAGUGACGCCGCGUAUGGGAAGAAGGUUUUCGGAUUGUAAACCAUUUUAGACAAGGAAGAAACAAGACAGUACUUGUAGAAUAAGCUCCGGCUAACUACGUGCCAACAGCCGCGGUAAUCUGAGCGGGCUGGCAAGGC